Molecule: ribosomal RNA, 336 nt
Filed under: Triticum aestivum (bread wheat)
Lineage: Eukaryota; Viridiplantae; Streptophyta; Magnoliopsida; Poales; Poaceae
Description: partial small subunit ribosomal RNA
Source: RNAcentral
AUGGAUAAACAGGAGGAAUCUGCCAUGGCUCAGCAUUUGCUUGUUGCAGCAGACAAGCAUGAUUUGGAGAGGCUGAAGCUGAUUUGUGAAGAGAAGUUGUGCAAUUGUAUCGAUACGAGCUCCGUGGCGACUAUCUUGGCCUUGGCGGAGCAGCACCACUGCCAUGAGCUUAAGGCGACAUGCUUGGUGUUCCUCAGCUCGCCGAACAAUCUGGAUGCAGCCAUUGAGUCUGAAGGUUUCGAGCUUUUAACCAAGAGAUGCCCUGGUGUUAUUAAGGAUCUCCUCAAGUCCCAGGUUGCUCCUAGUAUACUUGGGAAAAGAAAAUCUGGAGCAUGA